Medicago truncatula (barrel medic) is the source of this 525-nucleotide long non-coding RNA. RefSeq lists it as uncharacterized. The transcript is spliced from 2 exons. The record is from RefSeq and is a predicted model, not a curated record. NCBI's taxonomy places the organism in Eukaryota, Viridiplantae, Streptophyta, Magnoliopsida, Fabales, Fabaceae.
AUGAAUUAUGGAUUUUUUUGGAUUUUGUAAUUCAGAAAUCUAAGGCGUUUUGCAUUAUUUUUUUGGAUUACGUAAUCUGAGCAACACCAACUCUGAACAUCAAUGAUUAGAGAAAUGACCCCAGAAUGCUGCAAUGAUUAGGCUUGCUGGGGAAGGGAGCUGGUUUCAUCAAUUUCAAGUGGUUGCUCUGUUUCGAACUUCACCUUUUCCCUACACUAUAUUCAAUUAUGCUGUAGUAGUGACAGAUAUGAAGUUCUGGCCUUACUUUUGUGGAUCAGUAGCAGGAAUGGUGCCAGAAGCUUUUAUCUACAUCUACAGUUUUGUUUUUUUAUUUUCUCUUUAUGAUAGUUUAAAUAGUAGCAGGAUGCAAAGCUAGAAGAUUGUCCUCAUGUAAAUCAAAACAUACACAUUUUUCCAAACCUUAUUUGAGAAUAUUUUUAAGAUGCAUUGGUCCAUCCCUUCUCUAGCUAUCACCCUUUUAGGAAGAUAGACCAAGAGACAAAUGAAAUUAGAACUUUUUUUUCA